AAUUAUUUUUCGUAGAGAGAGAAGCGUUCGAGAAUUCUGUAGUGUAAUUUAGUUAUUUGAGAAAGUUAACACGGUUGUUCUAUGAGUAUUGAGCAGUUCAACCGGUUAAUUGAUAUUUCGACAUUCAGGCUGUCAUCUGAGUAGAGUAUACCGAGUUGAGUUGAGCUGUAAUUUGAAUCUUGGAUGUCAAAAAGUGUUCGAACGACUUGUUGGGACACAAUA
This is a long non-coding RNA of Anneissia japonica, 222 nucleotides long. RefSeq lists it as uncharacterized. NCBI's taxonomy places the organism in Eukaryota, Metazoa, Echinodermata, Crinoidea, Comatulida, Comatulidae. The transcript has 3 exons. The record is from RefSeq and is a predicted model, not a curated record.